GCCGGGAGUGGUGGCGUGUGCCUGUAGUCCCAGCUAUUCGGGAGGCUGAGGCUGGAGGAUCGCUUGAGCCCAGGAGUUCUGGGCUGUAGUGCGCUAUGCCGAUUGGGUGUCCGCACUAAGUUUGGCAUCAGUAUGGUGACCUCUUGGGAGUGGGGGACCACCAGAUUGCCUAAGGAGGGGUGAACGGGCCCAGGUUAGAAAAGGAGCAGGUCAAAACUCCCGUGCUGAUCAGUAGUGGGAUCCAGCCUGUGAAGAGCCACUGCACUCCAGCCUGGGCAACAUAGCGAGACUCCGUCUCU
RNAcentral lists this signal recognition particle RNA (299 nucleotides) under Cebus imitator (Panamanian white-faced capuchin). RNAcentral describes it as "Metazoan signal recognition particle RNA (ENSCCAG00000005043.1)". It matches the Rfam family "Metazoan signal recognition particle RNA". From Rfam's summary of the family: The signal recognition particle (SRP) is a universally conserved ribonucleoprotein. Lineage: Eukaryota; Metazoa; Chordata; Mammalia; Primates; Cebidae. The record is from RNAcentral.